Molecule: ribosomal RNA, 1075 nt
Filed under: Clostridioides difficile
Lineage: Bacteria; Bacillati; Bacillota; Clostridia; Peptostreptococcales; Peptostreptococcaceae
Description: partial 23S ribosomal RNA
Rfam family: Bacterial large subunit ribosomal RNA
Source: RNAcentral
GGUUAAGUGAAUAAGGGCGCACGGUGGAUGCCUUGGCACUAGGAGCCGAUGAAGGACGGGACUAACACCGAUAUGCUUUGGGGAGCUGUAAGUAAGCUAUGAUCCAGAGAUUUCCGAAUGGGGGAACCCAAUAUCUUUUAUAGGAUAUUACUUUUCAGUGAAUACAUAGCUGAUUAGAGGUAGACGCAGAGAACUGAAACAUCUUAGUACCUGCAGGAAGAGAAAGAAAAUUCGAUUCCCUGAGUAGCGGCGAGCGAAACGGGAAGAGCCCAAACCAACAAGCUUGCUUGUUGGGGUUGUAGGACUCCAAUAUGGUAGUCUGUUAGUAUAGUUGAAGGAUUUGGAAAAUUCCGCUAAAGAGGGUGAAAGCCCCGUAGACGAAAUGCUAACAACACCUAGGAGGAUCCUGAGUACGGCGGAACACGAGAAAUUCCGUCGGAAUCCGCGGGGACCAUCCCGCAAGGCUAAAUACUCCCUAGUGACCGAUAGUGAACCAGUACCGUGAGGGAAAGGUGAAAAGCACCCCGGAAGGGGAGUGAAAUAGAUCCUGAAACCGUGUGCCUACAACAAGUCAAAGCUCGUUAAUGAGUGAUGGCGUGCCUUUUGUAGAAUGAACCGGCGAGUUACGAUUGCAUGCGAGGUUAAGUCGAAGAGACGGAGCCGCAGCGAAAGCGAGUCUGAAUAGGGCGAAUGAGUAUGUAGUCGUAGACCCGAAACCAUGUGAUCUACCCAUGUCCAGGUUGAAGGUGCGGUAAAACGCACUGGAGGACCGAACCCACGUACGUUGAAAAGUGCGGGGAUGAGGUGUGGGUAGCGGAGAAAUUCCAAACGAACUUGGAGAUAGCUGGUUCUCUCCGAAAUAGCUUUAGGGCUAGCCUCGGAAUUGAGAAUGAUGGAGGUAGAGCACUGUUUGGACUAGGGGCCCAUCUCGGGUUACCGAAUUCAGAUAAACUCCGAAUGCCAUUCAUUUAUAUCCGGGAGUCAGACUGCGAGUGAUAAGAUCCGUAGUCGAAAGGGAAACAGCCCAGACCACCAGCUAAGGUCCCAAAAUAUAUGUUAAGUGGAAAAGGAUGUG